CGCAGAAAAAUAUUUAGAAUAAUUUAGUUUAAAUAUUUAAAAUUAAUCAUGGUGUUCUACCUUGUUCAUCGGGGGGAAACAACUGAGGGUGAGGAAUUGCAAGCGAUGAAACACAUUCGGAUGAGCUCGUAGAGAUGAGCGGCUCUUAUGGGAAACAGCGGACGAAGAUUACGGUGCUAAGAUAAAGUAGUCUUGAAGAUCUACCAAGAGAAGUUGAAGAAACAGGAUCGCAGAUUGUCGAACACAUGAUUGGAGCCUCAGACAGCCAGAAGUUUUUCUUCAAGAUCUGAAAGAUUCGGACGGUAAUUCCAAAACUAAAUGAGAUCCUCAUUGGCUCCUGAAGUGCGAAGAACAUCAAACGACGGCAACAGAGAUGAAAGCGAAAAGAAUUAUGGAAAUGUGAUCGCAUUAAUCGGCUCCGUGAAUAGUCUGGAGAUUAUAUCCACAGGUUCCUAUCAGGAUGCGAAGCGGUUAGAUCUUCGCCCAAUCAUAGCAUCACCGGUCAUGGCGUUGGAGCUACAGGUGACGUGGCUUGGGCGGCAAGAAAUCCCUGAACAACUGCAAAAUCGAGGUUAUCCCGGCAGGACGGUGGAGAAUCCCUCAGCGACCCAUUUCAUAAUCACGCACGCAGAAGAGCGAACGCCGACCGAUUGUGAUCCUCUCUCCACACCGCGAAAUGAAACCCUAGAAGGGAGAAAGAGAGCAGACGGAAGAGGUCUCGCAACAUUCCCGCUCCUACUCGACUUCUAGGGUUUUAAACCUCGGCGGGAAGAGAAGAACGGCACGGAGAAACACAGAUCUGCGUCAAGUGUCAUACGGCACUUCCUAUCAAUGGUCUUGCUUCUUCACCGGGAUCUAAUCAGAGCUCCUACCGGGAACAAAUCAGAAAACAAGACGAUCUAUGGCAGAAACGCGAAUGGCAAACAAGCAGGACUGAAAAAACGAUGAAACGGAAGCAUAGAUCCAGAUAAAUAAUUUCAGCCAGGGAAUGACGAAGAAACCGAAGCAGGAUCGAGUUCCUGUACGCAAGAAGAGAGCGAUGCCGAUUGAUAAGAGGCAACCAGAUCGAUCCCAUUCCUCGAACGAACGACUCCGGUAAGCAUCGGACGCCUCCGCAUCGGCGUCAUCCCUUCCGCGUCGAAGAAGACAGAGAGGAGGAGGUCCUGUGCCCUCAUCGCGGCUCCAUUUUUAAAGGCGGUCUCCACGCCGCCGCCCGCUG
This 1219-nucleotide long non-coding RNA is filed under the name Spirodela polyrhiza (greater duckweed). RNAcentral describes it as "long non-coding RNA (SPOL_LNC001759)". Lineage: Eukaryota; Viridiplantae; Streptophyta; Magnoliopsida; Alismatales; Araceae. The record is from RNAcentral.